Molecule: ribosomal RNA, 494 nt
Filed under: uncultured bacterium
Lineage: Bacteria
Description: partial 16S ribosomal RNA
Rfam family: Bacterial small subunit ribosomal RNA
Source: RNAcentral
GGCGAACGCUGGCGGCGUGCUUAACACAUGCAAGUCGAACGGUGAAGCGCCUUCCUUUUUGGUGGGUGUGGAUGAGUGGCGAACGGGUGAGUAACACGUGAGUAACCUGCCCCCUUCUUCUGGAUAACCGCAUGAAAGUGUGGCUAAUACGGGAUAUUCUGGGUCUGUCGCAUGAUGGGUCUGGGAAAGUUAUUGUUUCGGUUGGGGGUGGGCUCGCGGCCUAUCAGCUUGUUGGUGGGGUGAUGGCCUACCAAGGCGGUGACGGGUAGCCGGCCUGAGAGGGUGGACGGUCACACUGGGAGUGAGACACGGCCCAGACUCCUACGGGGGACAGCAGUGGGGAAUAUUGCACGAUGGGCGCAAGCCUGAUGCAGCGACGCCGCGUGAGGGAUGGAGGCCUUCGGGUUGUGAACCUCUUGCGCCAGUGAAGCAGGCCUGCCUCGUAUGUGGGUGGGUUGACGGUAGCUUGAUAAGAAGCGCCGGAUAACUACGUG